This 821-nucleotide long non-coding RNA is filed under the name Homo sapiens (human). RNAcentral describes it as "HSALNT0343126". Lineage: Eukaryota; Metazoa; Chordata; Mammalia; Primates; Hominidae. The record is from RNAcentral.
AAAAGAAUGACUCUGGCAGUAGUGUGGAGGGUGGACUGGAAGGAGUAUUUGCUGAAGCCAGCUGCUAUUCUCUGAGCUGCCUCAUGGAAGGGCCCAACUGGCAAGCAACUGAGACAAGCAAUCGUCAGAGAAGAAUGGAUGUACCCCAUCCAAAGUCCUGCAAUGAACUUGAAUGAUCCUGCAAUCUCAGAAUUGAAAGAAUCCUAUCAAAAACAAAGAACUUAUGAGCACAUACUGUACAGUAGAACUUGAGAUGACUGCAGCUCUUGUCUGCACCUUGAAGAUUUGCAAGAGUCCCUGAACUGGAAGACCGCACUAAGCUAUGCUCAGUUUCCUAACCCACUGUAACUGUAAGAUAAUAAAUGUUAUUCUUUUAAGCUUCUAAGUUUUAGGGCAUUUAUUACACAGCAAUAGAUAAAUUAUACACAGGCCAUAAAAUGUCCCUUGUGGAUAUUAAUAUCUUCCAUCUCUGAAUGAUACCACUCGUUUUGUAAGUUAAUCAUUAAUUGUCUUGCAUUGUUUACUUAGUGUUAAUUGGUCAUGUUCAAAUGAUGUUCUACAGGGCCCUAAGGAAUAUAUGUGUAUGAAUAUGUUUGCUUUUUGUAUGCAGUGUGAGUGUGUGAUUGGGGUGAAAGUUUAAAUAAAGAAGUUAGGUAGACAGGGCUCUGAGUGCAUUUUUUCUACCUUAGCAAGAACAGUUUCUCUUUUAUCUGCUAAAUGUAUUAGGUUGGUGCAACAGUAAUUGUGAUUUUUGCAUUGUUGAAAUUUGCAGAUUGAUAUUGGAAUAUGUUCUUAAAUAAAUGUGGUUAUGCUAUACAUCA